AAGGUUGCUGUGAAAUAAAAAGGAGCCAAUGGGAGGAAAGCACUUGGCACAGUUGCCUGGCACAUAGAACGUGCUCAAUAAAUAUUAGCUGCUGCUAUUUCAGUGCCCCUCCCGCCAACUUUCCUGGCAGGAAUCAAACUGAACGUAUGUGGAGGCAGAAUGGAGUAAGCCGCCAACAUCUCACCUCGGCGGGUCUCGUUGCAAACACAUCACUCCUGCCCCUGCAGUGACCUCCCGUGUCAAUAAAGCCUCGGUCCUUCUCUGCAAAUGCUCGGAGAGUACACUGUAACUGGAAGCAGCCUCCUCCCCUCGCUCAACACUCCUGAGAACCAAAAAGAUGUAGCCCUAUCUAAAGUUGCCAGCCUGAGACUUACCUGGGAGAUUUUGAAGAUCAGCAGGCCAGUGUAGAUGACUGAGGGAGUGACUGCGUUACUCCAGAAAACUUCAAAUCCCCUCCAAGAGGUCGCGAGGUUAUCCAACCUCUGUUCCAUACAGCCGGUGAGGGACGUUUCACUAUUCACCAAGGCUAAAAUCCAAGAGCCCGCUCCACAUUUGAACAGCUCUCACCAUCCAAAACUCCCCCUUAGAAUGUGGAAGCAGAAGACUCUCCAGCACGAGCGUCAGCGCACCUGGAUGCCAGGCCAAGCCCUGACCCCAAUUAACUGUGAGAUUUUGGACAGAUGCUUCCUCUCUGGGCGGCUUGGUCUUUUCACUUCCGGUUCUAAGGUCCUUCAUUCCAAGAUGAAAGGGACAGAAAAGUCUUCCUGAACUUCAGUGAGAGAAACUUGUUGAUUGAAUCACCUAAGAAUGAAAAGAGCUACAAUGUAAACCACCAGUGUUCCAGGGUUGAUGGGAACCACCUAGAGAGCUAAAGAAAAGCAAAAGCAGAUGGAACCCUACAGCACACAUGUUCUCUAGAGACGACAGCGGGGAAGGAAAACCUGAGUUGCAGAUUCUGGACUUAAAUAAUCAGCCUUUCUGGGACCCUGACUCCACUUUGGAAUUUUAGAGAGAGAGCUGGUGGCUGGGAGAUGAUCCACCUGACUGUAAACUUCAUGAAGGGACCAGUUGCGAUUAUUUCUUGACCAUCUAGCAUGUGUCAGGCACUAUGCUGAGUACUCCACAGGCAUCGCCUCAUUUACUCCCCCCAAUAACCAUAGGAGAAAAAUGUUAUUGUCCUCACUUCACAGAUGAAGAAACGGAAGUUCAGCAUCAGCAAGGAACUUAGCCAAGACUGCACAGCCAGGAAACGGAAGCGCCAGGGUUGAAAUGAGGUCAUCUGCCUCCAGCAUCCACACAGUUAACACCUCUGCCACAGAGUGGUCAACAUUCCUCCCUUUGGAAAUGUUUAUUCAUGGAGUACCAACUUUUCUAAGCCUUGGGGAUGCUGAGAUGAACUCCAUAGGCAGAGACCUGAACUCAUGGAACUCACAUCGUGGUGGUAACCCCGAUACAUAUACAAGUAAAGGUUUUUGAAAAUCAAGAGAACUCAGAACUCCUACCAGAUUCCAUCAAUGCCCCCUUGCAACAAGGCUCCUCAGCCCAUUUCACUAGCCAGGUCAUGGCAUGACUUGGCCAUCUCAGCUGGGCUCAUGUGGUCAAGAGCGAAGACCCAGAUUGGACAGUGGGGAGACCAGACUAGGUUCCAAACAAUUAGCCCCCAGAGAUACCUGUUUUGAUGAACUAUCCCCUGUGAAUGUGUUUUCUCAAAGCAUCUGUGGGUGUUCUCCUGGGUGCUAAUGUUUUCCCGGUGGCUGUUAUUCCCAGGGGCGCUGUGGUUUACUGCAGCCCGAGGACAGUAGCUUCUUUCAUCAGCACACAAAGGAACUUUAGGCUGGGGCAAACAUUCUGUUUCAUGUUCCAAGGUGGAGACGAAUGUAUAAAGGCUAGUUUCCUUAUAGUUUCGUCGUCUGCUUAUGAAUCUGGCUCCCACAUUAAUUUAUUAAAAGGGGGGUUUAUGUUUCAUUCAGUGUUAGACCUCAUUGCCUAACACAGUGCUUGGCACACAGUAGGUGCCCAGUAAACGAAUGAAUCACUGUUUGAAGUCAAAGCCAGGGGCUGUCAUUUACUUCCUGUGCAACGUUGGGCAAGUUGCUUAACUCUCUGUGCCUCAGUUUUCCCCUAUGUAAAAUAGAGCAUAAAAUAGCACCUAACUUAUAGAGCUCCUAUGAGAAAUAAGUGAGUUAACAGACAUGAAGCUGUUAGAAGAAUGCAUGACACGUGAUGUAUACAAAAUAGCUGAUAGUUUCCUGGUUUUUACAGAAGGUAUAUAAUCAAAGGCCAUUUUCUUGAUGAAUAUAAUUUUCCCAUGCACACUUUCCCAGUGAGUGUUUAUUCCACUCAGGAUAUGUUUCUGUAUGUAUUUUUAAUACUAGGUGUGAUUUUUUUUUCCUAUAGAUAUUUUUCCCUGUGCAUAUUUUUUCAGUGAUCAUUUCUCCUAGUAAAAAUUGUUCUGGUAGGCAUUUUUCCUAGGAAAGUUAUUUCUCCAGAGCUAUUCCCUCCCUUACCUUUUUUUCAAUGAUUUUUCCCAUAGACACUUUUCCUAGAGACUAUUUUCGUGGUGAGCAUUUUCAUAAUGAACAUUUUUCCAGAGGAUAUUUUUCCCAGGGAGCAUUUUUAGUGAGAAUUCUUCCUAAUGUGUAUUUUUCCCAGUGGGUAUUUUUGCUAGACAGCAUAUGUUUCCAUGGGAUAUUUUUCAGAAUA
Molecule: long non-coding RNA, 2703 nt
Filed under: Equus caballus (horse)
Lineage: Eukaryota; Metazoa; Chordata; Mammalia; Perissodactyla; Equidae
Description: lncRNA (ENSECAG00000047399.1)
Source: RNAcentral